RNAcentral lists this ribosomal RNA (491 nucleotides) under Pagurus bernhardus (common hermit crab). Its description in RNAcentral is "partial 16S ribosomal RNA". It matches the Rfam family "Bacterial large subunit ribosomal RNA", at positions 1912 to 2608 of the family's 2925-position model. Lineage: Eukaryota; Metazoa; Arthropoda; Malacostraca; Decapoda; Paguridae. The record is from RNAcentral.
CUGAUUAUAUUAAAGAGCCGCAGUAUUCUGACUGUGCGAAGGUAGCAUAAUAAAUUGUCUUUUAAAUGGAGGCUUGAAUGAAAGGUUGGACAAAGUAUCAUCUGUUUCUUAAAUAUUUAUUGAAUUUGACUUUCAAGUGAAAAGGCUUGAAUAAAUUAAAAAGACGAUAAGACCCUAUAAAUCUUUACAAUAAACAUGUUCUAUAUUUUAAUUUAUAAGUAUAUAAAAUAUUAAAUUUGUAUUUGUUUCGCUGGGGCGGCGUGGAUAUAUUAAUAAACUGUCUAUAUGUUAAAUCCAAUAAUUAUUGAUUAGUGAGAUUGAUCCUUAAAUAGAUUAAAAGAUUAAGAUACUUUAGGGAUAACAGCGUUAUUUUUUUUGAGAGUUCUUAUCGAAGAAAAAGUUUGCGACCUCGAUGUUGAAUUAAAGUAUCUUUAUGGUGCAGCCGCUAUAAGAGAGAGUCUGUUCGACUUUUAAUACUUUACAUGAUCUGA